GAAGGAUGCAAGCGUUAUCCGGAUUCAUUGGGUUUAAAGGGAGCGUAGGUGGUCUUGUAAGUCAGUGGUGAAAUCUUCCAGCUUAACUGGGAAACUGCCAUUGAUACUGCAGGACUUGAGUACAGAUGCUGUGGGCGGAAUAUGACAUGUAGUGGUGAAAUACAUAGAGAUGUCAUAGAACACCGAUUGCGAAGGCAGCUCACAAAACUGUAACUGACACUGAGGCUCGAAAGUGCGGGGAUCAAACAGGAUUAGAUACCCUGGUAGUCCGCACUGUAAACGAUGAUUACUCGCUGCUGGGGGGCAACUUCCAGUGGCUGAGCGAAAGCGAUAAGUAAUCCACCUGGGGAGUACGCCGGCAACGGUG
RNAcentral lists this ribosomal RNA (367 nucleotides) under uncultured bacterium. RNAcentral's name for it is "bacterial SSU rRNA". It matches the Rfam family "Bacterial small subunit ribosomal RNA", at positions 527 to 896 of the family's 1533-position model. The record is from RNAcentral.